UGAAGUUUUCGGAUGGAUCUUAAAUUGACUGAGCGGCGGACGGGUGAGUAACGCGUGGAUAACCUGCCUCACACAGGGGGAUAACAGUUAGAAAUGACUGCUAAUACCGCAUAAGCGCACGGUACCGCAUGGUACAGUGUGAAAAACUCCGGUGGUGUGAGAUGGAUCCGCGUCUGAUUAGGUAGUUGGUGAGGUAACGGCCCACCAAGCCGACGAUCAGUAGCCGACCUGAGAGGGUGACCGGCCACAUUGGGACUGAGACACGGCCCAAACUCC
This 276-nucleotide ribosomal RNA is filed under the name uncultured Lachnospiraceae bacterium. RNAcentral's name for it is "partial 16S ribosomal RNA". It matches the Rfam family "Bacterial small subunit ribosomal RNA", at positions 67 to 339 of the family's 1533-position model. The record is from RNAcentral. Lineage: Bacteria; Bacillati; Bacillota; Clostridia; Lachnospirales; Lachnospiraceae.